Long non-coding RNA from Lineus longissimus, 1359 nucleotides. RefSeq lists it as uncharacterized. The record is from RefSeq and is a predicted model, not a curated record. The transcript is spliced from 2 exons. Lineage: Eukaryota; Metazoa; Nemertea; Pilidiophora; Heteronemertea; Lineidae.
UACUUUCGACACCGUGCUCACUGCUGAUUCUAAAAUGCACCACCUAGUCAAAACAGGACAUAUGUUCUUCUAGGAAUAGAUCUCUUUCCAAUAUUUCGUCAUUCCACUAUCGUCAUCACCUCAUGAUACUUUCAUUGACAUUACAGGCACACAUCCACAGAGCACUCUUCAAAUCAUCUACACAGUGGUUAUCCAACUAGGAUUAUAAAGGCACACAUUGACAUCGACCACUGUUGCAAUCAACGACACAGUCGCUAUCCAAGUAGCAUUAUAGAGGUAAUUAUCAUUUUCAUACCUCAUUAGCAUGUGAACCAAUCGCGUCGCGUCCUUUGCGAUCACGGCAAAGCCUCAUGGAAUAAUGUCUUUCACCGUUGAAUAAUUUUUCAUAUUCCAUGCCAACAACUUCAAUUUCUUCAUAUUCCAUGGCUAGAAGUUCAAUACUAAUAUAAUAUCCAAGAUAAAGUUACAAGAAGUAGUCAAUAGGGGUCUCUCACCUCUCACUGUAUGUCCACACUAUUCACGCUUGUACGAGGAAUACAUUCAAUGCUGAAUCUAACAACACCCAGUGCCCUUACUCUGUAUAUUAGUCACUGGAAGAUGGCCCAUUUCACUCCUUGCUUCUACUUCACCUAUAGUCUCAUUGCAAACGCCUCAGUUCUAUGAUAUCACAUUCACUUUCAGCUGUCAUGCAACGCAACAACUGUGCUAUCUGCCAUCGCACAUCAACGAAGAAGUGCAGCCGCCCACAUUCCACCUCACGUCUGUCCGACCAGCUGCAAUCCUCGAGGACGCCCCACUGUACCACGAUUUCACUACGAUGUUUCACAAGAAGGAGCAGUGCGCGAGAUAGGCUAAUGAGCAGACUUCCCUCGCUUGAGUUUCGGAAGAAUGUUCCAUAUCGCGCUAAGCUGACCACUGCUGACCAUGACAGGCGUGCAUUGGACUGGUACAGGUUGGAACUGAACAUUGAAUAUGCUGGUGGUGACGCUUUCUGAUGAGAAGUUGGUCGUGACUGAUGCAGUAUCCUUGGACUUGUCAACAGCAUCGUUCAAUCAUUGCUCUCCGAGCUGCCUUGAUUCUGUACUUACCCAAAUACUAAGACCAAAUGCCUGUUGACUGUGCUUUAAGAGAGACUGGCGCCAUGCCUAGAGAUAUGACUGACCCCUAUUGGCAAAUUUGUAUGACUUUAUCUUGCCUACCUAGCUGCUGCCUAUAGUCUCCCUUUAACUGCAGAACACUUCAAAGUCGAUAAAAUGCCAUGUUCCACCUUUUAAUGUGUUCAGACCGCCAUUUUCAAAAUAAUCAAAUCAGGACACUGCCUUCUAGUCUCAUAAUAAAUUUUGCUUUCCUCAAUAAUAA